This is a long non-coding RNA of Grus americana (Whooping crane), 587 nucleotides long. RefSeq lists it as uncharacterized. Lineage: Eukaryota; Metazoa; Chordata; Aves; Gruiformes; Gruidae. The transcript has 3 exons. The record is from RefSeq and is a predicted model, not a curated record.
GUAGCGCGGAGCGUGAGCCUGCUGCGCUGACGGCUUCUGCGGUCUGGCGGGUGUUCUGCAAGCAAGGGGAAAAGUGUCCGUAACGGCUCCGUAUUUCCAUCCCUGUGCCCUGGUGUAGCGCCAGCACGAAUAAUCGUAAUGCAGUCCUGUAGGACAAAUAAGAAGUGACAUGGAAAAGACAGGGCUUGCACAGUUAUUUGUCUAUUUGUUUUGGAAGGACACCCUGCAUGAGGCUGUGUGAACUCGACGUGUUGCAGCCUGCUUGGGUACCGGCAGCAUAGAACCUGUUUUUGGUAGAAGAGAGAGGGGUUUUUGCAGAUCUAGAGAGAUCCUGAAGCAUUGGUUGGAAUAAGCUGCUCAACAGCAUGUGGACCUCGGUGCUCGGGCUCUAAUACAGAAACGAGAUUUUAACAGGGAAGCGUACCACCACGAAGGUGCUGAGCAUCAGUGCGAGGCCGAGCUGUGCCUGCCCAGCAUCACCCCUGCCCCUCCGGAGCAGUGUGCGGAGGGUCGGUCUGUCCAUCCGUAAAUCUUUGCCCCAUGCUACACGAUCCUUUCCUACACGAGAUGGCGCUCUUUGCCUUUCA